RNAcentral lists this long non-coding RNA (1118 nucleotides) under Callithrix jacchus (white-tufted-ear marmoset). RNAcentral describes it as "lncRNA (ENSCJAG00000073893.1)". Lineage: Eukaryota; Metazoa; Chordata; Mammalia; Primates; Cebidae. The record is from RNAcentral.
AUGUUACCUGUCUAUUGCAGGUUGACAUGUAACAUAGUCUCACAUUAUUGUAACACAACCUUGCAUUAUUGUUCUUUCUUGUAUGGUCAAAGGGAAAGGAAUACCAUGGUGGAACUGCAAGAUGGCAUUAAAGUUCCUGCUUGGCAGUGCCACAAGUCACUUGGGCUUAUUUUGGACUGGCCAAAGCAAGUCAUGAGAAGCAAAAGUAAUGAAUCAUCCAGCUAUCUAUGAAGGCAGAGUAUGACAGAUGUGACAGUCCACAGAAGAUUCUGUCAGCAAUGAGAUAACCACUAUGGGCUCGAAUACAAUACUAGAAGAGGAGAAGAGUAGGACACAGCUAGCAUAGAUGGAAGAAUGACCAUGUGAGGACAUAGCAAGAAGCCAGCGACUGUCUGCAAGCCAUGGAAAAAAACCUCAGAAAGAAAGCCUGUUGACACCUUAAUCUUGAAUUUCUAACCUCCAGAAAUGUGAGAAAAUAAAUUUCUGUUAUUUAAUCCAUCCAUCCUGCAGUGUUUGGCAGACCUAGCAAACUACUACAAUUACCAUUGAUUAAUUUUGUCUGUUCUUUAAAAUUACAUAAAUAAAAUCAUACUCACUUGUGUUUGGCUUCUUUCACUCAAUAUGUGUUAAGAUUCAUCAUGUUGUUAUGCAUAUCAGUAAACUGGCUGUUUUCCCUGUAGAUCUUGAAGAACCAAGAUCUAGAGAGAAGUAAAAAGAAUUAAUGGUCCAUGGAGCAACAAUACCAGAAAAGGUAGGGAGAUACAAGGAUAUAUGGCACAUUUAGGGAAUUGUGGGUGUCUUAAUGGGCAGGAGUCAGGACACCCGUGGGAAAUGCUGCAUGUGUGUAGGAAAUUGAGGCCGGAGAGGGAGACAGGGGCCAGUAUCUCUGAGUGAGCGGAAACUCAAAAGAUUUGAAUGAAUUGGAACAAGGUAAGAGAUAAGAGUCCUGAACCUCCUUGUUGGAUUUUCUGGGGACAUCUGCCCUGUCUCUUGAAGUCCCCAUUACCUAGCGUGAACUGGCCAUUUUUAUAGUUGAGUAGUAUUCUACUGAUGAAUAAAUCACAAUUUUUCUGUCCAUAAUCUUGUGAUAGAUAUUUGAAUUUGUUUUCUAGUUUUGG